AAGUGUUAUAGCUCUUUUAGAAUUUGUCUAGUAUGUUUUCUGACUUUUUUUUUUGCACACACCC
Peromyscus californicus insignis is the source of this 64-nucleotide small nuclear RNA. RefSeq annotates it as U7 small nuclear RNA. NCBI's taxonomy places the organism in Eukaryota, Metazoa, Chordata, Mammalia, Rodentia, Cricetidae. The transcript has a single exon. The record is from RefSeq and is a predicted model, not a curated record.